CUACCCUUGACAUGCCACUAACGAAGCAGAGAUGCAUUAGGUGCUCGAAAGAGAAAGUGGACACAGGUGCUGCAUGGCUGUCGUCAGCUCGUGUCGUGAGAUGUUGGGUUAAGUCCCGCAACGAGCGCAACCCUUGUCUCUAGUUGCUACGAAAGGGCACUCUAGAGAGACUGCCGGUGACAAACCGGAGGAAGGUGGGGAUGACGUCAAGUCCUCAUGGCCCUUAUGGGUAGGGCUUCACACGUCAUACAAUGGUGCAUACAGAGGGUUGCCAAGCCGCGAGGUGGAGCUAAUCCCAGAAAAUGCAUCGUAGUUCGGAUCGUAGUCUGCAACUCGACUACGUGAAGCUGGAAUCGCUAGUAAUCGCGGAUCAGCAUGCCGCGGUGAAUA
Molecule: ribosomal RNA, 390 nt
Filed under: uncultured bacterium
Lineage: Bacteria
Description: bacterial SSU rRNA
Rfam family: Bacterial small subunit ribosomal RNA
Source: RNAcentral